Populus euphratica (Euphrates poplar) is the source of this 2468-nucleotide long non-coding RNA. RefSeq lists it as uncharacterized. The record is from RefSeq and is a predicted model, not a curated record. The transcript is spliced from 4 exons. NCBI's taxonomy places the organism in Eukaryota, Viridiplantae, Streptophyta, Magnoliopsida, Malpighiales, Salicaceae.
UAACUAAAAUACAUGAAGAUAUGGUGUUUGUCUGUCUGCGUUCUAUUAUCGCAUGUUUAUUUUUUGAAUGGAUAUGCAGGGCCAACACAAAUUUGCAAAUUUUGUGUUCUCUUUGAUAACUCCUUAUCUGCUCUUGAAGCCAAUAACAGCUUCCUACCAUUGAGACUGACAUGAGCUGCUGAAUGGCCAUUCUUUUUUAAAUGCCCCUUUGAAUAGAAAAUAGAUGAGGAAGAAAACUUGCAUAAAACCUUCAUGGAAAUUGGGUGGAUUUUAGCAGAUCAGUGGCAAAAGUUCAAUUAUACUGGAACUUGGAAUGAACAAUGCUAUGAAAUAAUCUCCUUUUUGUUAUAUUUUUGUCUGAUCAUUUGUAAAAAGACUAAGCGAUUAUCAUGCUGCUUUUUGACACCAACAAACUCAUUUUGCUGACUUAAAUGAUUUAGGUUUUGUUCACUGGUGAAAAGAUAGGUGUUGGAAUGGGCACAACAAGGAAGGAUGCACAGCAGCAAGCAGCUGAGAAUGCCCUUCGCAGCUUGGCAGAAAAAUAUAUAGCAUAUGUUUCACCCCAUCCUGGUGCAUUUGAUCGGAUUUUGAUAAGCUUUCUAUUGGAUACGAGAAUGGAUUUGUAUGGGACAUUACAAAUCCUGGAUCAAGUGACGUGGUACUAGAAGACGGGUUAGCUAGAGAAUGUCUUCCCAAGGUGAGGAUUUUUUUAUGAUGUUUUCAGUAGUUGGUUUGAUUCAUUUGUUUAAAAACAUAGGCGAUGCUUGGAUAAAGGGUAUGCUGGCAAGAAAUUUCCAGAUGGGGAAGUGGUUAUCUGAACUGAAACUACACCCUUUUGGAGUUUGCAUUGCACCAAGAUGUGGGAGCUAAAACAGUGAAGGGUUAGUGAGCUAGCUUCAUGUCUGCUACUGUGGCUUUAACCAAGCUCCACUUAUUCUUGUUAAGAGGUUGCUGAUGCUGAACUUGGGAGUACAUCCAAUAUGGUAAAUAAUCAACAGCAGAAGCGUGCCAGCUCCCCAAGGUAAUGCAAAAAAUAUUCUUCCUUUUAUAGUGAAUCGAUUGUAAAUUUGAUCUCAUAAUGACAUAGAGGAAGUAGGGCAGAAACUUUUUUCCAACGAGUUUUUGAGGAGUGGGAUUGGUGUGACUAGUGAUUGUGUUCGAACCAAUAGUUUGACAGUGUUUUCAGUAGAUUGGAUUUCAUUUCUUUUUUGAGUCAUGAAGUGGAUUUAUUUGAACACGUGGAAUUCAUGGGCUCUAUAGUGGCGAAUUCAGUCCUAGGGUUGGCUUAUUGAGGUGGUUUGGGAGUUGCGAAGCUUGUGUUGAGCGUCUCAGAGAUGGAUUGUUCUUGCCUUUCUGAACGUCGUGUCUGAAGGAUUUUUUUUCGGGUCCUGUCCUGGAAAUUUUCACACUUGUACAUUCAUAUAUACUCCUUGCUGAACCUUUUUGCCUGUCUUUCAUUUUUCUAUUCCUUAUUGUGGAACUUCUGCAUGCUGUCUUGUACCAUUCGUGUAUGGCAUGUGCUUUUUGAAUGUCAUCCCCCAUGGAAAUUAGAUUCAUUUGGAAUUAUGAAUCUAUGCUACUCUCUGGGGUGCAAGUUGGAAGGAAAUUGUAGGGUGAGGUGUUUCUUUUUUGAUUGAUUUGAUGCAUCGUAAUGACACUUUUGUACCUUUGUGAUUCCUUCAUUGCUAAUCUUUGUAGAACAUGAAUUAUUCCUGGCAAUUUGUAUUGUUGGGUACUUUUUUUUCCUGAUGUGUAUACGAAAUCUGGUCUCGGCAUUUGCAUUCUUGUCAUGGAGAAUUAUUGCAUGUCUAGUUUGGAGAUACAUGAUGAUUGCCUCAACCUUUACCAAGUAAACGGUCAAAGGAAGAACUGCGUGGUUCACGAAGUCUACCCUUUCAGCAACCCAACACCCGGAAUCAUGUUUCAGGUCGCUAAUAUCGAGAAAACUUGGUAUUGACUCGAGGACUUGGUGUCAGGAUCAACAGGUCAGAUGGUCCUUGCUGGGAGAAUCAGUAACUCCAGCUCUGUUAGAACCUAAUUUAUUACAGUGAUAAAAUGCAAAAAAGUUUCUAUGCGUCAUUAUUUCGCUGUCAGGUGAUGAAAAAUGAUUUGGGGCAGAGAGCUUUCAGCGGAGCACCUUAAGAAAGCAACGGUGGUUUAACACAAAUGUUGCUACAUAUGGAGCUAUUCAGCCUGGGAGUUACCCGUGGGCCUACCUCGAUCUAGUUAAAAAAUUUCAAGUUACCAUUGAUGUUUGCAAGAUUUGUUUUUUUUAUUGGUUUCGAUUUUAAGAUUUUCAAUGCAGACCACAGAGGAUGCGUCUUUGGUAACAGAGCAACAUUGUUUCAAGUGCAUUGUGAUAUCAUUUGACUAUGAUUAUGCUUCUCUGCCCCUUGAACGAGACAGAGUUAGUAACGGUAAUUAUUGCCAACCGGAGCGAGGGACAAGUUCCAGAAUCUCCGGUGACU